Molecule: unclassified non-coding RNA, 1522 nt
Filed under: Penaeus chinensis
Lineage: Eukaryota; Metazoa; Arthropoda; Malacostraca; Decapoda; Penaeidae
Description: leucine-rich repeat extensin-like protein 3, transcript variant X2
Source: RNAcentral
CAAUAGAGUGUAGCAAACACGACUAUGCUUGCUGCCUCUUUUGCCGAAGUGGCCCAAUGUCCCUGGUGCUCCGCAUUGAUCGCUCAGGUUUUGUUCCCGGGGAAAAUAUUAUCGUUAAUGCUGAGUGUUCCAACAUGACCAAUGUCAAGAUUAACUACACAAAAGCAGUUGUGCAUCAGACCAUAACAUACUAUGCUGAAGGGAGAAAGAAGAAGGACCAUCGGAAGGUUGCUGAACUCAAGCGCUUGGAAAUUCCCCCUGGAGAAGAUGAUAACUGGAACAACGUUGAGAUGUUGAUUCCAGCACUGCCUACCUCUCACCUACAAUUCUGCAACCUGAUUGACAUUGAUUACGAACUCAAGUUUGAAAUGUCCCCAUCCGGUUGCCACAUGGACCUAGAACACACAGCUCCUGUAAAGAUUGGCUCCAUACCUCUAGUGCAAUACUUCAGCAACUUUGUCCAAGGACCACCCACAAACUCAGCCCAACACAUGAAUCUGGCUUCAGUUCAGCCUCCAGUGCCUGCUUAUUUCCCUCCUGGUCAGCCCCCAUUACCAAAUUAUUCUCCAGCACCAGAACAGCACCCAGGGCUUGGCUUUGCUGCUAUACCAGGUCAACAGCCAGUGCCAGGUCAGCCUCCAGUGAUGAAUCCUCCUGUAGUACCAUAUCAGCCUCCAGUUCCAGGUCAACAACCAUUAAUAGGUCAAGCACCUGUGCCUGGUCAGCCACCAGUACCAGGUGAACCACAAAUGCCAGGUCAGCCUCCAGUGCCUGGAUAUGGUACUGGGCCAGGUCAGUCUUCAGUGUUGGGCUUUGCUCCAUCCAUACCAGGUCAGCAAGCAGUCCAGAUGCCCUCCAACAAUCCAGCCCAGCCUAGCAUAGCAGUGUCCAGUGUCGAUCAAAACACUUCGCCAUACAACCCCAACUUCCAAUCAGCAUCUUACCCCAUACCAGGGUCACCAAGAUUUCCAGGAGUCGUACAUUAUCCUCAAAUGCCCUUACCAACAUACAACCAGUGUAUGUUUGGAACGACCAGCAUUGCGGAGAUUGAUAGUGAUGUUGAUGAAGGCCAGAAUCAUAACGAAGUGGGAUUUGCACCUCAUUAUAUAUCCUAUAACCUUGUAAACUCCAAGAGGCUCCAGUCAGCUGCCUCUGUGGGCGAUACCGUAGGGGUCAUGGAUGGCAUAACCAGCGGAGUGAGUGACCUGCAUAUUCGCCAUGACAGUGGGAGCAGUGGUUCUAGUGGAGACCAUUAUCGUGGAGGGUACCAGGCACAUAACUGACUUCAGAAGAACCGAUAAGGGAAUAGCAUUCCUUUCUUUGGCAGUAUAUAAAGAGCAGCUGCUCACGACCACAGCAUGAGUCAUCAUCUGCAUGAUAGCUUAGGGGAUGCACCGCUCAUUGUCCACCAUCAUGAGCAUCACUCUAACUCUGACUCAGACAGCGAGAGACCAGCAGAGGCAGCGCAGACUAAAGAUACCGGCUUCAACACCAAGGACACUGAGACCAACGCCAAUGACAG